GAAAUUUCAGACCACUCACUGUUGACACCAGUGACACACAGAUUGACCAGAUCUCAUGGAAGUACCCCCUGAAUCAGACCCAGUCGUUGGGUAGCCACCCUUGCACGUUGACACAGCCAGCAGCGAGCACCCAGGGCGAUGGACGCAGGAGUGGAGGAUUGCCCAAUAGGAUGCAAAUUCAGCCCACUCACUGUUGACACCAAUGAGGGAACAAGAAAGGCUAGGCAACCCCAUCUUUUGACAACGGUCUCCACCAGUCUAUUUCUAAAAAUGUCAACAAUACAUCUGCUAUAUAACAAUGAAUUCUUUUAAAAGAUUAUAUGAGACAUUUCAAAUGCUUUUUUUAAGCAAAUGCUUAUUUAUCCUUUCUAUCUGUAAAUAAUCUUGAACAUAUACAGAAUGUAUGUCAACCAAACUGCAUGAAUUGCAUAAUCACAAAAUUGCAUUAUUUCAAAAGCGCCUAUGAGUGUAUGGCUACUUUAUGACAGGAUUGCAUAUUUGUGAAUAUUUUAUUGUAAAUUUUAAUGGGAUUUUGUCCAAAGAAGUGCUUAUUAGUCUUUUGGUUUCUAAAUAACCCCAAACAUUUUUGUUAGACUGUGUAACAGCCCCUCCUACCACAUGAAUGGCCUGUCUCAAAUUCAAAAACGCCUAUAAUAUAUAGCUGCUAUAUGAUAAUAUAUGUUUGAUUUAUAGGAUUAUAUUGGUCAUUUCAAUGGAAUGUGUUAAAAUAUAUGCUUAUUGAUCAUUUUAAUGUGAAAGUUGGCCUGAAUUUGUGUGUUUGGGUGUAUCAUAGUCCUCUACUCUCAUGAGUUACACAGCAAACACCAUAAAAUCGCCUAUAUUGUACUGCACUAUAGUGGCAAUAUUUUUUUGUUGCCUUGUUGUAGAUAAUGACAUGUGAUUUCAUUUGUUACAGAACAUAUGUGUUUACAAUCUUAGCCAAUAAAAAGGUUUUAAUCUGUAUGUUUGGUAUUGUUCAUACUCAUUUAUUAUGAAAAAACUAAAUCGGAUUUUUGUA
Long non-coding RNA from Engraulis encrasicolus (European anchovy), 1018 nucleotides. RefSeq lists it as uncharacterized. The record is from RefSeq and is a predicted model, not a curated record. NCBI's taxonomy places the organism in Eukaryota, Metazoa, Chordata, Actinopteri, Clupeiformes, Engraulidae. The transcript is spliced from 3 exons.